AUUAGGCAUGCAAGUCGAACGGUAUAAACCUUCGGGGUUUAGAGAGUGGCGAACGGGUGAGUAACACGUAGGUAAUCUACCCUCAAAACGGGGACAACCCAGGGAAACUUUGGGCUAAUACCGGAUGCGUGCAAGCAAUGUUUUGGCUGUUAAUGCUAUUCACGGAAGUGAGUAGUGUUAAUGGUUGAGAGCAUUAUUUGCAUAAAAGGUGGCAUAUGCUGCCGUUUGAGGAUGAGCCUGCGUCCUAUUAGUUAGUUGGUGAGGUAAUGGCUUACCAAGGCGAUGAUAGGUAGGCGGCCUUAACGGGUGGUCGCCCACACUGGGAUUGAGAGACGGCCCAGACUCCUACGGGAGGCAGCAGUCGAGAAUAGUCUACAAUGGACGGAAGUCUGAUAGUGCGACGCCGCGUGAACGAAGAAUCCCUUCGGGGUGUAAAGUUCUUUUAUACGUGAGCAGUGCCCUUUAUAUGAAUAGUAUAGAGGGAGGGAUUUAAGCGUAUGAAUAAGCAACGGCUAACUCCGUG
This 523-nucleotide ribosomal RNA is filed under the name uncultured bacterium. RNAcentral's name for it is "bacterial SSU rRNA". It matches the Rfam family "Bacterial small subunit ribosomal RNA", at positions 48 to 507 of the family's 1533-position model. The record is from RNAcentral.